CCUACGGGCGGCAGCAGUAGGGAAUCUUCGGCAAUGGACGGAAGUCUGACCGAGCAACGCCGCGUGAGUGAAGAAGGUUUUCGGAUCGUAAAGCUCUGUUGUAAGAGAAGAACGAGUGUGAGAGUGGAAAGUUCACACUGUGACGGUAUCUUACCAGAAAGGGACGGCUAACUACGUGCCAGCAGCCGCGGUAAUACGUAGGUCCCGAGCGUUGUCCGGAUUUAUUGGGCGUAAAGCGAGCGCAGGCGGUUAGAUAAGUCUGAAGUUAAAGGCUGUGGCUUAACCAUAGUACGCUUUGGAAACUGUUUAACUUGAGUGCAAGAGGGGAGAGUGGAAUUCCAUGUGUAGCGGUGAAAUGCGUAGAUAUAUGGAGGAACACCGGUGGCGAAAGCGGCUCUCUGGCUUGUAACUGACGCUGAGGCUCGAAAGCGUGGGGAGCGAACAGGAUUAGAUACCCGUGUAGUC
Molecule: ribosomal RNA, 465 nt
Filed under: uncultured Streptococcus sp.
Lineage: Bacteria; Bacillati; Bacillota; Bacilli; Lactobacillales; Streptococcaceae
Description: bacterial SSU rRNA
Rfam family: Bacterial small subunit ribosomal RNA
Source: RNAcentral